AACGGAGAACAAUGAUCGUAAAACACUGCAAACAAGUCUAUAGUUUCAAAAUAACUUAUCUUAGAAGCUCACAUCAGCAACUUGAGAAACAUGACCCUGUUGUGAAAUGAACAUAGAAUGCGGAGAUGCUGCCUGAGGGGAAGACACAGGGGCCCGCAGAGGACGGAGCAGCUGCCGGGCUGGGGGCAGGGACACGCACGGUGGUGGGUGCUCCCCAGACCUGCUCGCUGCCUCCUCCCGGGUUUCCCGUUCCAGAUGGACCACGGCUUGUCUAUCCAUUCCCCGGCGAAGGAUGUCGUGGUGCAUCUUUGUGAGUUUGGAUGAUUAUGAAC
Non-coding RNA from Leptonychotes weddellii (Weddell seal), 332 nucleotides. The record is from RefSeq and is a predicted model, not a curated record. Lineage: Eukaryota; Metazoa; Chordata; Mammalia; Carnivora; Phocidae.